Molecule: ribosomal RNA, 651 nt
Filed under: Frigoribacterium sp. I10A-01966
Lineage: Bacteria; Bacillati; Actinomycetota; Actinomycetes; Micrococcales; Microbacteriaceae
Description: bacterial SSU rRNA
Rfam family: Bacterial small subunit ribosomal RNA
Source: RNAcentral
CGAACGAUGAACUCCAGCUUGCUGGGGGGAUUAGUGGCGAACGGGUGAGUAACACGUGAGUAACCUGCCCUUGACUCUGGGAUAAGCGCUGGAAACGGCGUCUAAUACCGGAUACGAGCUUCAGCCGCAUGGCUAGGAGUUGGAAAGAAUUUCGGUCAAGGAUGGACUCGCGGCCUAUCAGCUAGUUGGUGAGGUAAUGGCUCACCAAGGCGACGACGGGUAGCCGGCCUGAGAGGGUGACCGGCCACACUGGGACUGAGACACGGCCCAGACUCCUACGGGAGGCAGCAGUGGGGAAUAUUGCACAAUGGGCGAAAGCCUGAUGCAGCAACGCCGCGUGAGGGAUGACGGCCUUCGGGUUGUAAACCUCUUUUAGUAGGGAAGAAGCGAAAGUGACGGUACCUGCAGAAAAAGCACCGGCUAACUACGUGCCAGCAGCCGCGGUAAUACGUAGGGUGCAAGCGUUGUCCGGAAUUAUUGGGCGUAAAGAGCUCGUAGGCGGUUUGUCGCGUCUGCUGUGAAAUCUGGGGGCUCAACCCCCAGCCUGCAGUGGGUACGGGCAGACUAGAGUGCGGUAGGGGAGAUUGGAAUUCCUGGUGUAGCGGUGGAAUGCGCAGAUAUCAGGAGGAACACCGAUGGCGAAGGCAGAUC